AACAAGGGUGCCAAGACUUUUCAAUGGGGAAAGGACAGUCUUUUCAAAAAAUGGUUUUGGGAAAACUGGAUAAUCACGUGCAAAAAAAUUAAGUUGGACCCUUACUUUACAAAGUAUACAAAAAGUAAUUCAAAACAGAUCAAAGACCUAAGCAUAAGAGUUAAAACUAUAAAACUCUUAGAUGAAAACAUAAAGUGAAAUAUUCAGGACAUUGGU
Molecule: long non-coding RNA, 216 nt
Organism: Aethalodelphis obliquidens (Pacific white-sided dolphin)
Lineage: Eukaryota; Metazoa; Chordata; Mammalia; Artiodactyla; Delphinidae
Exons: 3
Source: RefSeq, a predicted model, not a curated record